UUUCCUGCCCAAGUGCAGAGGGGCUGGACCCGGUGAUCUCGUGAGGUCCCUUCCGACCCCUAACAUCUAUGAAUCUCUGACUCCCUGAAGGAAGUGACAGAGAUGAACCCCAGGUAGGUGAACUUCACAGUUCUCAGCUCUCCUUUUCUGUGUUACAGGAUGUUUUGGUUGUGGAAUAUGUUUCCUUUAUACAGAAACUCACCUUUUUGUAGCAUUCUGCUUAGGAUGGGAAAGCUUUUCCAAAGAGGGAGACCUCAUGGGGUAAGUUGGUCAGAUUGCAUCAAUCCAGUUCCCUACGGAAAUAGGGGCAACUGGGCUGUCCUGGCAGUAUAUGAGAUCCUGAAUCCACCUGCAGCAGCCUUUCUUCCCCAUCAGAGAGGUGUUGCCCACAACCCCAUGCUUGGCCCAUACAGUUUCCCUUGCUCCUUGGAUUGGUUGAAAUGCAUAGCAGUUUUGGAAGUGAAAUAAAGUGUAAGUAGGACCAUCCUGUGUGCCUUGCCCCUCCUUGGCAAUACUUUUUUAAGCCAAACUUCUGCACAUGAAUUGCAUAUAGAAGGAUGUAUCCAUAUUGCCAAUAUAACAAUGCUCAUUGCACAGGGACUUUUCUCCUCCUUUUCCUGAUGUCUGGUGCAAAGCACAUUUAUUCCAGGGUGUGUUAGCAAAAGCUCUGCAUUGCGCAGAAUGCUUAUUUCCCAAGCUCAGUCCCACUAGAAAACCUCUCCUAACAUAAAUGAGAAAUUAAACCUAAUCAGGCAAGCUAAACCCACUUAGGAAGACAGGAAAUGUUCAGCAGUAAUGAAGUUUAUUUGUGUGUCAAAGCCUAAGGGCCACGUAGAUCCAGUUCCUCAGCGGUAGCUUGCGUAUUGGAAAUAAAAUGCAUUGACAACUGUUUCCUAAUAAAGGUUUAAAUAUGAAGUAAUAAUCUCUCUCCUGCUGUGAUAGCUUCUCUGAAUGCUCCUUCCCCUUGGUGUCAUUCCACUUCAUAAACACAAGCACAACGGGGGGGUUUAUCUGCAUUGCUCAGUCAGUGUACGUAACUCGUGCUGAUGAUGCUAGUCUUGCCGCAUGGAAGUUCAGGCUGGUGUUUCCUUCUAGGUGGGCAGCUGUAUCCAAAGUGUUUUAGAGUCCAGCAUUACAACUGAGUGAUGAGACGGGAUGGGCCAUGACCAAGGCAUGAGCCUGGGGCACCGGAGUAGACGUUCCAGUUUCUGGCUUCAACCCAGACUUCAUGAAUAGGGAUCUACUCAAAUAGCAAUUUCAUGGAAAGCACAAAAUCCAGCCUUGCCCAUGAAAUCUGUGGAGAGAAAAACCCUAUUAAAAAUAAAAUGCUGGCUCCCCAGUGGGAGCCAGCAGUCCUCGUGGCUACUGCAGCCUGGCCGCGCAGCCUGCCUGCAAGGGAAGUGGGGAGGGAGGCUGCCAGCACACAGGGGAGACCAAAGCAGCAGCUGUCCCCACCUCUUGCCACUAAUUGGCUAAAAGGUCUGCCUGUUGUGGCCUCACCCCCUCCACCAAUUGGCAGUGAGGGGCAGGGCCACAUAACAGACCAUCCUCACAGCCAAGCAGUGGUGAUGGGCGAGGUCAUCGGGGCCCCUUGGCCAAUCAGAGGCAUGGGGAGGACCCUAUUAUGAUAUACCUUGAAAACUGUGCACAAAAUUGCCCGGCUGCCUCCUCGAGUUGGGCAGCCCCCUGUUCAGGAGUGCGUCCUGGGCAAGCCACGUUCGCAUCUCCCAGCACUGGAGCGUGGGUAAAGACUCUUCCCUAGCUCACACGGGGGUUGUGUGGCUAAACACAUUAAAGGGUGUCAAGUAACGAUGCAGUGAUAAGGGCCAUAAACAUUUAUAUAGAACUGGCAUGUUGCUCAGGGGGGUCUCCCUCUGCUCAUCCUCCAUGAUGGUGAAUUCACAGUUCAGCUUCCCAAAACCUCCAAGGAAAUAAAGCAUUUCUAUUUUACAGAUGGAGAAAUGAAGGCAGGGUGUGGUUAAGUGACUUGCCCUGGGCGGCAUAGGAAGUCAGUAGCGGAGGGAAAAAAUGUUGCUACGACAGUGUGCAUAGCCUUUACGAAGGAGUCAUUAGUACACCGUAUCUUUAUGAUACCUCUGAUCUGACACCCGACGUGUCUGACUUUGGGCGCCAUUCACGUUGAGGUGUAAGGGAUGACUGCUUCAGCUCCUAUUACUCCCGGACGCGUGGCUGCUAGAUAUGAAUGUCCUUUUGGCAUCUAGGAGUCGCUGUCGCAGAUCGCCAUGCAGCGGUGCUUGGCAGCAGAACAGGACAGGACAGCAGCCCCAGCCCCAAAGGCAGCAGGUGCGUACAGCCAGACAGCGACGACAAGGGCCAAGGCUGAACAGAUGGUGUAAGUGCGUGCUUCCUGGAAUAGCAAGUCCUACACAGACUUGCACACUUGAUCCAUAGCGAUAAUCUCCUGGAUCCCAACUGUGACCAGCAGGUCGUCCUUCUACGCCGCUCCAUUUUUGUUGGGUUUCUGGUCUUGGCCUGAUCCCAGGGGUAGCUUAAUUGCAACUUCAUGCUGUGGUGUCUCCCUCUCCAGCUUCACCAUCUUGUUUUAGCUGAUGUUUUCUAUUUGCAGAUCUCAUGCUUCAUCCCCUUUUCACAGAUAGGGAAAUCCAGAGAUAAGGAGGCUGUCUUGUCGGAGCCUGCAGAACUAGUCAAUGGCACAGCUGCAAAAAGAAAGAGGCCUUUUGAUUCCCAUGUGAGGGGGCUCUUUACUGGAUCACACUGCUAUUGUACUGGGUGCAGUCCACCGUUCAGCUACACUCGGUGACCUGACCCCAUCUUAUCUCCCCUCUUAAGUUCCAUAUUAUUACUUCAUUCCUCUACCCUUUGGCUCCAUACUGCUGUCUGGGUGGCAUGUUUUGAAGGUCACCUUUGCAUAUUAGGAUCUUGCCAGGGGAGGACAAGUGCUGUGCUGGGGGUAAUCACAAAUACUUUGGUGACAGAACUGCUAAACCUGGGAACAACAGAGACACUGUUGUGGGUAUUGUGCAGUGUGUGGCAACCACAGGCAAAGAGCCUGGGAGUGAAAAGGUGGAGAGGGCACAGCGUGGAGAGCAUUGAAUGAAAACCCAGCAAGCUGUGGUUUGGCAAGCUUCCCGCUCAUCAGGAUUUGAGCUGGAAGUUCAAGUUGCAGCAUUCAGCGACUUGGGCCUGCUCUCUGCCUGCAUUGGCAGAAAGUGGCGCUUGUCAGUUAAAGCAGAUGUGUCGGGUAAAGAUGAAUCUUCCCAACUCCAGCGCAAACAUGUUGCUUUAAAGUAUUAUUUUACUGGGGUGCGGAUUGAUGCUCUUGUUGAUGUGCACCCAGAAAAGAAGCUAUCUGUCCUCCACAUUUAUUUUCGAAUGGGAUGUGUCCCUACUAAAGGGUUCUGACAACGAGUAUUUUUUCAGGCACGCGGAGACCGAUACUGCUGUGUGUGGGUGUUAGUCUCUCUUAUCUCCUCCUGUGUAGUGAACAAGUAUCACUUGUUCCUGCUGCAGGGAGAAUCAAUUUGAAAUGGGAGGCACUGGCCCUUGGUGACUGGGUUGUUUCUUAACAUACCACUGCUGACUUGGCAUUGAAUUCCCAGCGACUCCGUCACCGCCUGGCCGCUCUGCAAAUGAUGCAUCUCAGCUGUUUGCAUGUCAUUUCGGCACAAGUCGUUUGCUAUAGUGGAUGCUUCAAAAUGCAGACGUGCCUUGAGAAAGGCACACGCACAGCAGAGAAGGACCAAGAUAGUGAAGCUGGCUGUUCUUUAUAACCUACCAACCAGACCAUCUGUUUAAUUUAACCCUCAGCUACCACUGGCUGCUCUGUGUUUCUUUUCAUUUUGUAGGUAGCAAAUUGCUAGAAGUAACUGUGACCUGAUGGAAAGUCUGACGGCUAGGAAGUCACUGCUGAGCCUUUUAGCAAAAAUAACCUCUCUUUCUUGUUCCCUGGAGGUAAGGAGAAAACAUGCCUGACAAUUCAGCCAGUGUUAGUCUGGGGCACGCCAGCUGCUCCUUGGGGAAGGUACUUCCUAAAUUGGGAGGAGUCGCCCUGAGCUGGCAGAGGAGAGCCCGGUUCUGAGAAAUGCUUUGAACAGGGAAAGCGUGUGAAAGAAAUGGGUGCGUUCAGUCUGGGAGGCCACAGCCCAAGAGUCCUUCAAUGGAAAGACAGACCCAAAAUGGAUCACGCUCAAUGGUGACUAACCAGCACGAAGGAAAUGAUUGUUCAGAGAAUUGAACAAGAGGGAGCCGAAUUCACCAGUUAAGUACAGGUUGCCGAGCCUCCUCAGAAGGUCCAGUAGAUCUACUUGCAUGUCCAGGGGACUGUAACAUCUAUCAUGACUGCAAACUCUUCAAAUUUUCCUGUUGCUUGACUUCGGAUUUUUGUAGGAAGCAGCAGGCUAUGAGGAUAUUGUCACAUCACCUGCAGGCAGAAAACAAGCGGGUCUGAAGUACCCACACAGAGGUGAGCUGCAGCCAGCACCGCCUCACUAGCCCCAUGACAUGAAGUAGCAUGCAAGGAAAGCGAGAAUAUGGCAAGGGGCAUGCCGACGCUGACCUCCGAGCCUGGAAGCCGUUCCAAAUUCAAAUGAAAAGUUCUGAUUUCAAGUAAUUUAGGGCAAAAAUAAAUCAUUUGGAGAGGAGGAGAAAUGUAUUCAGACGGGUCAUACAGUACCAGAACAAUGUGAAAAAUAAUGCCCAUGUUUAUACUUCGUCAGCAAUUGGAUCCCUAAGAAAUUAGCUCAUCCGUUAUGUGUAGUUUGCUUUGAGAUGCAGCCAUGAAACGCUUUAUUUUUCCUUCCUGCAGUAUCAAAUACAAAAACCCCAACAAGAAACCCACAAAACCCCAAAAGCCAAGAACGCCCCCAACCUGGCAAAAACAAACCACAGAACUGAACGAAGUUGUUAAUCUAUUGGGGCAGAUUCUCAUCGACAGGAAGAGAGAGGUGUCACGUGGGUUUGCAGCUGGUGUGUAGACAGAGCCCAGCACUUCUACAAUAUCAGUACAGCCCCCACCCUGCACUGCAGACACGAUGGGAACAGGAUGGAGAUGCUUAUCUUCGUAGAGACAUUUCAAUAGGGCCAGAGGAAUAAGCACUACUGAGGGACGUAUGCCAGAAUAGCUAUAUAUAGAGGUUGUAGCAGUAGGGUUUUUAUCUUUAAGUAAGGCACGUUUCAAAGUGAUUAUACGAGUGCCAAAAGUGUGUUUAGACACUGAUAUAGUAAGUGAGAAUCAGACCCUUUGUUAACACUAAGCCACUCUGAGCAUGGCCUGCUCUUUGACUAGGCAAUUGUAUCACAAAAGCAUGAAGUACUGUAUUUUCUCACUUACAAUAUGUCCCCACCAAUAAGAUAUACCUUGUUUCAAAAGGCAGAAUAAAGAAAAAGACCUUUCCUUGAAAAUACUGGUAUUAGCAGUAACUGAGCAGCAACUUCUGCAGCUGCCAGGGGAGGCGGUGGAGGGAGAGAGCAUCUAGUCAGCAGCACCCAAGGAGCCCCACAUGCAGAAGUGUUAUUUUUGCUUCCUUUCUCCCCUCCCCUUGCCAAAAUUAUUACCUUAUUUCCUUGCUAAUGAUGCACACCCAACUUCCAGCAGCUACAUUUUUGAAAAAGGUGUGAGAGAAAAUAUGGUCAUUGAAAAACAGAGAAAUGCGGUUGUUCUCAACAGUGCUGUAAACUUGCAGCUGUCAUGGCUUUCGUGGGAGCUACUGCGGUUACUGCUCAGGCCCAUCAGACACCACAGAUUGAAGUGCCUGAGACAGUCACUAAGGAUACGGACAAACAAGUCAAGGAGUAGGAAGGGAGUGGGAAAUUUCAACACAACAAACUGGAACAAGCAGGUUCUUCUAGGUCUGGAGACAUUAAUAGUAGCUGACAACUUCCCUCUUUCGGAAGAGAGAGCUCAUUGGCCGUGUUAGUCUGCAGUCAUGCAGCAGGUAGUCUGUAAAGUGCAAGUCUACCCUAAUUAAAUUAGAGAUGUAUAGCAUAAGCUUUCAUGAGCCCCAGCUCACUUCAUCAGAUGCUGUGAUCAGAUCGGGCUCACAAAAGCUUAUGCUAUACAUCCGUGAUGUAUUUAGUCCAUAAGGUACAAAUGUACCCUACCUUCCGUAAUUCAUGUUGGAAGCAAGAAAGCUAGCUUGGGCUAACUACCCCUCUCUGCUCACAGAUGGCUUUGCACUUGGCCUCUUCAUGAAGGUGUGCACCUGAGUGAAGUGGGGGGGAAGGACAUUGCUUCUGCUGGUUUAAUAACAAAGGGGCCAGGUUAUACCUAACGGCGCUUGCUGUUUAAGUUUCUUUAUAACACAAAGGCAAAGAUGCAGACAUCUCUUAGGAUGGUGAUGCUACAUUUCUGCCAGACAGGACUGUUGGUUUUGGUGUGGAUCUGCGAGCACCAGAGACCAGGCAUCAGACAGAGAAGAGUUAAUUCGUGUUUUCAAAAGGAUCUGACAGCUGACCACAACUAAUUAGAGGGAUAAAGGGAAAAGGAAGAAAUGCCACUUUCCAUCAACUCUGUCAUUGGAUUUUAUCCUAGUUAAUUUAAUUAGAUUUGUGCAAGAUAAAAUUUCCACUUUAAAACAAAAAUCACAACAUUUACAUACACACACAGUCGCAUGAUACACAACAUAUAGCUAACAUUUAUAUACAGGUUAUUUACUAGCAGCUAUACUCUAAAUUCACAUAGUACAUGGCUUUACUUGCUACAGUUUCAGGCACAGUGGAAGGUUUUUCAAGUGGGACAGGUGGGAGGUGGGUGAACCACAAUAAAUACUUUGUGCUGGAUCCUCAGUUUGGCACAUCUAAAUGCAAAUCUACCAACUGAAGAUUCAACAGGAAAUAAAAAACGGGGCAUAUAAUUCAGCUAAUACUAAAAAAACUAUACAACUUUUGUAUUAAACACCAAAUUCAUCCUUCAAUGGUGUGUUAAGGUACUGAAAUCAAGUCCGUUCCAAGUUACUUUCUCUCUAAACCAUCUCAGUUGUCAAUUAAAAAAAAAAAAUCCCAAACCACCACACGAUCAAUGCUUGCUACUGUUGAGAUAAUGGAUCACAUGCGAAUAUAGGUCCGUAGGAGUCUGCAUUUGUAUUUAAUGUUCCUUUAAUAAAAUUCAGAAGUUCAAUGUA
Long non-coding RNA from Alligator sinensis (Chinese alligator), 7100 nucleotides. RefSeq lists it as uncharacterized. The transcript has 3 exons. Lineage: Eukaryota; Metazoa; Chordata; Crocodylia; Alligatoridae. The record is from RefSeq and is a predicted model, not a curated record.